AUUGAACGCUGGCGGAAUGCUUUACACAUGCAAGUCGAACGGCAGCACGGGGGCAGCCCCUGUGGCGAGUGGCGAACGGGUGAGUAAUACAUCGGAACGUGCCCGGUCGUGGGGGAUAACGUAGCGAAAGUUACGCUAAUACCGCAUACGAUCUGAGGAUGAAAGCGGGGGACCUUCGGGCCUCGCGCGAUCGGAGCGGCCGAUGUCAGAUUAGGUAGUUGGUGGGGUAAAGGCCUACCAAGCCGACGAUCUGUAGCUGGUCUGAGAGGACGACCAGCCACACUGGGACUGAGACACGGCCCAGACUCCUACGGGAGGCAGCAGUGGGGAAUUUUGGACAAUGGGCGCAAGCCUGAUCCAGCCAUUCCGCGUGCAGGACGAAGGCCUUCGGGUUGUAAACUGCUUUUGUACGGAACGAAAAGGCUCUGGCUAAUACCUGGGGCUCAUGACGGUACCGGAAGAAUAAGCACCGGCUAACUACGUG
Molecule: ribosomal RNA, 484 nt
Filed under: uncultured bacterium
Lineage: Bacteria
Description: partial 16S ribosomal RNA
Rfam family: Bacterial small subunit ribosomal RNA
Source: RNAcentral